RNAcentral lists this small RNA (141 nucleotides) under Arabidopsis thaliana (thale cress). RNAcentral's name for it is "ATSL187560". Lineage: Eukaryota; Viridiplantae; Streptophyta; Magnoliopsida; Brassicales; Brassicaceae. The record is from RNAcentral.
CAAUUUCUCUCUACAGAGAUCGAAGAUAUGGAAGGCAAGGAAGAAGACGUUAGAGUUGGAGCUAACAAGUUCCCGGAGAGACAACCAAUCGGAACAUCAGCUCAGAGUGACAAGGACUACAAGGAACCACCACCAGCUCCG